This 467-nucleotide ribosomal RNA is filed under the name uncultured bacterium. RNAcentral's name for it is "partial 16S ribosomal RNA". It matches the Rfam family "Bacterial small subunit ribosomal RNA", at positions 355 to 804 of the family's 1533-position model. The record is from RNAcentral.
UGGGGAAUUUUGGACAAUGGGGGAAACCCCUGAUCCAGCCAUCCCGCGUGUGCGAUGAAGGCCUUCGGGUUGUAAAGCACUUUUGGCAGGAAAGAAACGUCGCGGGUUAAUACCCCCGCGAAACUGACGGUACCUGCAGAAUAAGCACCGGCUAACUACGUGCCAGCAGCCGCGGUAAUACGUAGGGUGCAAGCGUUAAUCGGAAUUACUGGGCGUAAAGCGUGCGCAGGCGGUUCGGAAACGAAAGAUGUGAAAUCCCAGAGCUUAACUUUUGGAACUGCAUUUUUGAACUACCGGGCUAGAGUGUGUCAGAGGGAGGUGGAAUUCCGCGUGUAGCAGUGAAAUGCGUAGAUAUGCGGAGGAACACCGAUGGCGAAGGCAGCCUCCUGGGAUAACACUGACGCUCAUGCACGAAAGGCGUGGGGAGCAAACAGGAUUUAGAUACCCCUGGGUUAGUCCACGCCCCU